UUUCGUCAUUGACGCAUCGAUCAACAUUGCUCCGCGUUUUACGCGUCUUGCCUGUCGAAAGUGAGUCUCACACACGGAAAUAAGUAUCAGGGGUGUCGAGUAUAGCGAUGUGCGAUCGUCCGAACGUUAUUGAUUUGUCAGAGAUUCAAGUAUCGAUGGACGCGGAUGCCGUACCGGAGGUACCGGUUCGGGCCAGGCGGGGACGACUCGAAGAUUUGUCAGGUUAAAGUCCAUGAUGGGUACAGUUUCGAUGGACGUAGAUGCCGUGCCGGUUCGGGUUAAGCGGGGACGACUCUAAGAUUUGUCAGCAUUUGAGGCCAUGAUGUGUGCAGUUUCGAUGGACGUAGAUGCUGUACCGGAGGAGCCGGUUCGGGCCAAGUAGGGUCGGCUCGAAGAUUUGUAGCGAAACGUGGCCGGCCCUAACUUCUUGGUAUUUCGGUGAGUCUAAGAAAGAAGAAAUAUGAAAAAUUAAAAAGUUUUUUUGGUGAUAAAUGAUAUUAAACAAAAUCAAUGCGAUUUACCUACACUGAG
Odontomachus brunneus is the source of this 531-nucleotide long non-coding RNA. RefSeq lists it as uncharacterized. The record is from RefSeq and is a predicted model, not a curated record. Lineage: Eukaryota; Metazoa; Arthropoda; Insecta; Hymenoptera; Formicidae. The transcript has 5 exons.